Molecule: long non-coding RNA, 1376 nt
Organism: Cyprinus carpio carpio
Lineage: Eukaryota; Metazoa; Chordata; Actinopteri; Cypriniformes; Cyprinidae
Source: Ensembl
CUCCGUCACGGGAGAUCUCAGGUGAGUCCUUCACUCCUCUUUCCUUCUGGCUAUGUGACGACAAUCAGCUUAUUCGCAAGUGCCCCUUUGUUCUGGCUUGCAGGACGACUGUCCAGGGCCCUCUCCUUUCCUGGACGUAACAGAUACAAGUGGUAAGUAUUGAGAGUUUGGAUGCACAAUGGAUACCUGCUGCUACUUUUGACGAACUCCGAGGCGACCCAGCGGAUUAUACUCCCGGUCGUCCAGAUGCUGGGGGAACUGCCCAAGGGCUGCCGGGAUCCAACUAAAACCGUACUGGUAAGUGUACGGGAGGGGGUUUCCACGGUCUCUGUAUCCUGAGUGACGAGUCGACAUGCAGGUAGACGCUUCAAAGGGACCCGCUAGAUCUGCACAAGAGCAUAAAGGUAAGUGUAACAGGACUGGACACGGAUAGUGGACAGAGGGGCCGCUGGCUCUUCACUCGGGGGCACAAGUAAGUCCGUAGGAAAGACAACUGGGGUUUCACUUGAGCAUACAGGCGAGUGUACAACACAAUAUGUUGGCUUUAGCUUUGGGCAUAAGGUAAGUACAUCCAAUACAACUGGGACUUCACUCUGGGCAGACAGGCGAGUGUACAACACAAUAUGCUGGCUUUAGCUUUGGGCAUAAGGUAAGUACAUCCAAUAUAACUGGGACUUUACUCUGGGCAGACAGGCGAGUGUACAACACAAUAUGCUGGCUUUAGCUUUGGGCAUAAGGUAAGUACAUCCAAUACAACUGGGACUUCACUCUGGGCAGACAGGCGAGUGUACAACACAAUAUGCUGGCUUUAGCUUUGGGCAUAGGGUAAGUACAUCCAAUAUAACUGGGACUUUACUCUGGGCAGACAGGUGGGUGUACAACACAAUAUGCUGACUUUAGCUUUGGGCAUACGCUUACGGUGAAUAUACAGGGAAACAGGAAGUGAUGUAACUCACAGACCUUCGAAGGAAUAGACGUCAGACGUUCCUUUUCUGAGGCUUCUACCAACUGCUGAUAGAGAGGCGGAUCGAAAACUGUUGCGUUGGGCCGAACACGGCCUCCGCUGGCGUCACACACAGGUAAGUUGUCUCACCCGGGGUGUACUACACUGGAUGGGUCGAACGCUUCCCUCUUCUUUCUACCAACCGACAAGUCAAGAGAUCUAGACAGGGGCGAACCUUUGAAGAACUCCACAGCAGGUAAUAAUACACGCACAGCUGAUUUCCUCCUACAGCAGCCAACUCCUCACCAUUGAUACUUCCCAAUAGAUCCACACUGUUCUUACUUGAAAUUGUUUCCCACCACCGUCACGUGGGGAAGAAGGGUCAGGAUGUCAUCGACGGCAUAUAAUUGGAGAUGUUUUCUUCGCCCGCCUC